GUCUACGGCCAUGCUACCCUGAACAAGCUAAGCAGGGUCUGGCCUGGUUAGUACUUGGAUGGGAGACUACCUAGGAAGAGCAGGUGUUGUCAGCG
This 95-nucleotide ribosomal RNA is filed under the name Pteropus alecto (black flying fox). RNAcentral also lists the same sequence under 1 other name. Lineage: Eukaryota; Metazoa; Chordata; Mammalia; Chiroptera; Pteropodidae. The record is from RNAcentral.